AAGCCAUUAUGCAGGCAAUUUUUUACCAGCUUCUUAAAUCUCUUCCAUGCAUCACUCAAUGUUUUCCAGUUCUUCUAUAGAAAAUUUGUGAUUUCUCGCUGCCUCU
Molecule: small nucleolar RNA, 106 nt
Organism: Benincasa hispida (wax gourd)
Lineage: Eukaryota; Viridiplantae; Streptophyta; Magnoliopsida; Cucurbitales; Cucurbitaceae
Source: RefSeq, a predicted model, not a curated record